This 465-nucleotide ribosomal RNA is filed under the name uncultured bacterium. RNAcentral's name for it is "partial 16S ribosomal RNA". It matches the Rfam family "Bacterial small subunit ribosomal RNA", at positions 339 to 795 of the family's 1533-position model. The record is from RNAcentral.
CUACGGGAGGCUCCAGUGAGGAAUUUUGCGCAAUGGGGGGAACCCUGACGCAGCAACGCCGCGUGAGUGAUGAAGGCUUUCGGGUCGUAAAGCUCUGUCAAGUGGGAAGAACCUAUGCAGUGUUAAUAUCACUGUAUACUGACGGUACCACUGAAGGAAGCACCGGCUAACUCUGUGCCAGCAGCCGCGGUAAUACGGGGGGUGCAAGCGUUAUUCGGAAUCAUUGGGCGUAAAGGGCACGUAGGCGGCUUGGUAAGUCAGAUGUGAAAGCCCGGGGCUUAACCCCGGAAGUGCAUUUGAUACUGUCAGGCUUGAGUAUGGGAGAGGGAAGUGGAAUUCCUGGUGUAGAGGUGAAAUUCGUAGAUAUCAGGAGGAACACCGGUGGCGAAGGCGACUUCCUGGACCAAUACUGACGCUGAGGUGCGAAGGCGUGGGUAGCAAACAGGAUUAGAUACCCGCGUAGUC